This 254-nucleotide ribosomal RNA is filed under the name uncultured Lactobacillus sp. Its description in RNAcentral is "partial 16S ribosomal RNA". It matches the Rfam family "Bacterial small subunit ribosomal RNA", at positions 109 to 355 of the family's 1533-position model. The record is from RNAcentral. Lineage: Bacteria; Bacillati; Bacillota; Bacilli; Lactobacillales; Lactobacillaceae.
AGUAACACGUGGGGAACCUGCCCCAUAGUCUGGGAUACCACUUGGAAACAGGUGCUAAUACCGGAUAAUAAAGCAGAUCGCAUGAUCAGCUUUUGAAAGGCGGCGUAAGCUGUCGCUAAGGGAUGGCCCCGCGGUGCAUUAGCUAGUUGGUAAGGUAACGGCUUACCAAGGCGACGAUGCAUAGCCGAGUUGAGAGACUGAUCGGCCACAUUGGGACUGAGACACGGCCCAAACUCCUACGGGAGGCAGCAGUU